RNAcentral lists this transfer RNA (76 nucleotides) under Candidatus Legionella polyplacis. RNAcentral's name for it is "Legionella endosymbiont of Polyplax serrata tRNA-Ala". It matches the Rfam family "tRNA". From Rfam's summary of the family: Transfer RNA (tRNA) molecules are approximately 80 nucleotides in length. Their secondary structure includes four short double-helical elements and three loops (D, anti-codon, and T loops). Lineage: Bacteria; Pseudomonadati; Pseudomonadota; Gammaproteobacteria; Legionellales; Legionellaceae. The record is from RNAcentral.
GGGGUCGUAGCUCAGUUGGUAGAGCUUCUGUUUUGCACGCAGAUGGUCGGGAGUUCAAUUCUCCCCGACUCCACUA